AAUAUAGUGCCUGAUUAAAGGAUAGUUUUGAUGUGACUAAUAAUGUAUAACUUACCUAUAUUU
Molecule: transfer RNA, 63 nt
Filed under: Arcotheres purpureus
Lineage: Eukaryota; Metazoa; Arthropoda; Malacostraca; Decapoda; Pinnotheridae
Description: tRNA-Ile
Source: RNAcentral